UGAAUACGAGACGCUACGGCGUUGAAGCAGUCUAUGUCAUACUUCCAAGAAAAGCUCGCAAUGUCAUAAACAAAUAAUGCCUGUACCAUAACCGACACAGGUGGGUAGGUAGAGUAUACUAAGGGGCGCGAGAUAACUCUCUCUAAGGAACUCGGCAAAAUGACUCCGUAACUUCGGGAGAAGGAGUGCCUUAUUUAUAAGGUUGCAAUAACAAGAUCCAAGCAACUGUUUACCAAAAACACAGGUCUCCGCUAAGUCGUAAGACGAUGUAUGGGGGCUGACGCCUGCCCAGUGCCAGAAGGUUAAAGAAGUUGGUUAGCAUUCGCGAAGCUGAUAACUGAAGCCCUGGUGAACGGCGGCCGUAACGAUAACGGUCCUAAGGUAGCGAAAUUCCUUGUCGGGUAAGUUCCGACCCGCACGAAAGGCGUAAUGAUUUGGAUACUGUCUCGGAGAGAGGCUCGGUGAAAUAGACUUGUCUGUGAAGAUGCGGACUACCUGCACCUGGACAGAAAGACCCUAUGAAGCUUUACUGUAACUUGAAAUUGAAAUUGGACUUUAUUUGCGCAGUAUAGGUGGGAGGCGUUGAAAAUACUCUUGCGGGAGUAUUGGAGCCAUCAGUGAGGUACCACUCUUGUAAUGUUAGAUUUCUAACUUUGUAUCAUUAUCUGGUCAAAGAACAGUUUCAGGCGGGCAGUUUGACUGGGGCGGUCGCCUCCCAAACGGUAACGGAGGCGUACAAAGGUUUCCUCUGAACGGGUAGAAAUCGUAUCUAGAGUGUAAAGGCAUAAGGAAGCUUGACUGUGAGACCUACAAGUCGAGCGGGGACGAAAGUCGGUCUUAGUGAUCUGACGGUGCUGAGUGGAAAGGCCGUCACUCAACGGAUAAAAGUUACUCUAGGAUAACAGGCUGAUCUCCCCCAAGAGUUCACAUCGACGGGGAGGUUUGGCACCUCGAUGUCGGCUCAUCGCAUCCUGGGGCGGUAGUACGUCCCAAGGGUUGGGCUGUUCGCCCAUGAAAGCGGUACGCGAGCUGGGUUCGGAACGUCGUGAGACAGUUCGGUCCAUAUCCGGUGUAGGCGUUAGAAUAUUGAGAGGAGCCUUCUUUAGUACGAGAGGACCGAGAAGGACAUACCUCUGGUGUACCAGUUAUCGUGCCAACGGUAAACGCUGGGUAGCUAUGUAUGGAGAGGAUAACCGCUGAAAGCAUCUAAGUGGGAAGCCCACCUCAAGAUAAG
RNAcentral lists this ribosomal RNA (1234 nucleotides) under metagenome. RNAcentral describes it as "bacterial LSU rRNA". It matches the Rfam family "Bacterial large subunit ribosomal RNA", at positions 1564 to 2808 of the family's 2925-position model. The record is from RNAcentral.